AAACUGGAGAGUUUGAUCCUGGCUCAGAACAAACGCUGGCGGCGUGCCUAACACAUGCAAGUCGUACGAGAAAGUCCGCUUCGGUGGAUGAGUAAAGUGGCGCACGGGUGAGUAACGCGUGGAUAAUCUACCCUUUAGUCUGGAAUAACUUAUCGAAAGGUGAACUAAUACCGGAUAAUAUCCCGAUUUCUUCGGCGAUCGGGAUCAAAGAAGGCCUCUGCUUGCAAGCUUUCACUGAAGGAUGAGUCCGCGUACCAUUAGCUAGUUGGCAGGGUAAUGGCCUACCAAGG
Molecule: ribosomal RNA, 290 nt
Filed under: Deltaproteobacteria bacterium HGW-Deltaproteobacteria-9
Lineage: Bacteria; Deltaproteobacteria
Description: partial 16S ribosomal RNA
Rfam family: Bacterial small subunit ribosomal RNA
Source: RNAcentral